Macrobrachium nipponense is the source of this 1851-nucleotide long non-coding RNA. RefSeq lists it as uncharacterized. The record is from RefSeq and is a predicted model, not a curated record. The transcript is spliced from 3 exons. Lineage: Eukaryota; Metazoa; Arthropoda; Malacostraca; Decapoda; Palaemonidae.
UUUUACAAUUAGAGUUACUGUCUCUUGUGAGAAAGAACCGGCUCCCGGAGCAAAUUAUCUGUGAGUGACCGCUUAUUGAAGAAGAGCGGAAUUCUGAAGGUUUUGAAGUCAUUCGAUCGUUACUACGAUGGCAAAAUGAAUGGUGAUUGUGUCAAGUUUAAUUCUGAAUCUUCGAUCAGGACUGUCUAUAUAAAGCUUUCAAGAGGCAAUUUGGAAGGUGUUUUUCCUGGGAAUCAAUGGGCUCUGCUGUGAAAGUUCCAUGAAGAUAUAAUUAGCUGGAAGACUUCGUGAUUAAUUAUGCAAGCUACUGACUACAAAAAAGUCUUCAUAAGAGUGGAAGUGAUUAGUUGGAAGACUUCAAAGAUUUAUUAUUAAAGCCACUAACUACAGAAAACUUUAUUCUUCCUUCAGAAUAGUGGAAGUAAUUAGCUUGAUUACUUCAUGACUGAUGCAAGCUACUAACUACAGCGAGCUUAAUACCUUCGUAAGAGUGGAAGACUUAAACUUUACUCUGUUAUUCAUUGGCGUUCAAGGAUAAAAAUUUAAUUUCCUUGAGUUUCACUAAGAUAUUGGCAGUGGGAGGCCCUUGAAGGGAUGCAAGGAUAGUUCACUAUUACUUGUGUACUAGCUGUAGAACAAUUUACGUUAGUUGGGAACUAUAUUCAAGGAAAAUUUUGAGGUUUAGAUCUUAUCAGUUUGAAUUAGUGAAUAGUCUGUUCCCAGUUUAAGGCUGAAUGACGUCGUAGGUCCCAGCACUUGGCUUUUGGCUUAAAUUCUAUAUUCUAUUCUAUUCUAUAGUUCCCUGUUUAGUAAGCCAAUAAGAAAGCAACCUGAUGUCCUUGCUUACAAAAAAAAAAAAAAUGACCAUUGGCAAUAGAAGUAAAAAGACAGACAAUUAAGCCACGAAAUUGGCUUUUCCCAAGUUAUAGGUUUUUCCCGAGUCGAGGCUUACGGUGAAGGUUAGUGGUACAAUCGGCACUACAAAGUAAUCAGUGAAGAUGGCGGGGCUAAACAUCAGUUUGUAAUAAUGGUUGAAGCAUUGUCUAAACUUGCUUUAAUUAGCCUAAAUUUGCAGAGGUUCAACAAUAUUGGCCUAAAUCUAGUUAUCAUGGCUGGAGUAAUUUUAAUAUAAUUGAGAUUACAGUAUUUCGUGUAAUUGUAAUUGACAAUGAAAUUGUUUGUAAUUAAAUUACAGCAUGAUGUAUUUCAUUCAAUUUUAAUAAAAUUUGCUGCUACUCAGCCCGUGCCCAAGAUUAGCCUUUGCACUCUCGCCCAAAUCCCUUGUAAUUGUACUAAUGGAAUUUGUAAUUGUAUUGUAUUUGAAGUUUCCAAAUAUUGUAAUUUCCAUUGGUUAAAGUAAUUAUAAUUUUAAUUUACUUACUCCAACCCUGCAAGCUAUAAUUUUUAGUUUAGCAAAUUUUAAGUUUAUUAAAUUUUCCAGCAUUGAAGACAUUUGGGCAGCAGAUUGGUGGCUUAAUAGUUCAGAAUCCUAGUUUGUGGUUUUUCUUUGUGGGGGUGUGGGAGGGGGAAUAGUGACUCAAUUUCACUGGUUCUGUAUCGAAGCAAUCGCAUGAUGGUAGGUAGCUUAGGCCUUUCAAGGCCUUAUCAUUGAAUGUGGCUUUUUCUAAGAUUAGUUUUUUUAACCCUUCACAGAGAAAAUUUGCUAGGCCUGCCACUGCUGUUUCAAUUUUGACAACAUUCAAGAAUUGUCGAUAAAUCUAUUCUUUGCUAAAUAACCACUGGUUCCAUGCAACGUAAAAACAAAGUACCUAAUAUUUGAAUUUGGUGAUCUGUAAAUGUCUAUACAUACGUAUUUCACAUCUGGUAAUCUUAACUCAAUAUAAUAAGAUU